Molecule: ribosomal RNA, 140 nt
Filed under: uncultured bacterium
Lineage: Bacteria
Description: partial 16S ribosomal RNA
Rfam family: Bacterial small subunit ribosomal RNA
Source: RNAcentral
UGGGGAAUAUUGGGCAAUGGGCGAAAGCCUGACCCAGCAACGCCGCGUGAGUGAAGAAGGCUUUCGGGUUGUAAAGCUCUGUUGUUGAAGACGAAGGAAGUGACGGUACUCAACAAGGAAGCCCCGGCUAACUACGUGCC